RNAcentral lists this ribosomal RNA (352 nucleotides) under uncultured bacterium. RNAcentral's name for it is "bacterial SSU rRNA". It matches the Rfam family "Bacterial small subunit ribosomal RNA", at positions 29 to 405 of the family's 1533-position model. The record is from RNAcentral.
AACGAACGCUGGCGGCAUGCCUAACACAUGCAAGUCGAACGAGACCUUCGGGUCUAGUGGCGCACGGGUGCGUAACGCGUGGGAAUCUGCCCUUGGGUUCGGAAUAACAGUUAGAAUGACUGCUAAUACCGGAUAAUGUCUUCGGACCAAAGAUUUAUCGCCCAGGGAUGAGCCCGCGUAGGAUUAGCUAGUUGGUGAGGUAAAGGCUCACCAAGGCGACGAUCCUUAGCUGGUCUGAGAGGAUGAUCAGCCACACUGGGACUGAGACACGGCCCAGACUCCUACGGGAGGACAGCAGUGGGGAAUAUUGGACAAUAGGGCGAAAAGCCUGAUCCAGCAAUGACCGCGUGAG